AAAGAAUUAGUUAAAAAUAACAUAAAUAUGUCAUAUUUAAAUUACUAAUUUAUAGUAUUCUUUU
This 64-nucleotide transfer RNA is filed under the name Trichostegia minor. RNAcentral describes it as "tRNA-Asp". The record is from RNAcentral. Lineage: Eukaryota; Metazoa; Arthropoda; Insecta; Trichoptera; Phryganeidae. RNAcentral also lists the same sequence under 2 other names.